RNAcentral lists this transfer RNA (59 nucleotides) under Leptolycus sp. UPOL VP0027. Its description in RNAcentral is "tRNA-Leu". The record is from RNAcentral. Lineage: Eukaryota; Metazoa; Arthropoda; Insecta; Coleoptera; Lycidae.
UGUGACAGAAUAGUGUGAUAAAUUUAAAAAUUAUUUAAAAAGUUAAACUUUCUUUAGAA